Molecule: ribosomal RNA, 393 nt
Filed under: uncultured bacterium
Lineage: Bacteria
Description: partial 16S ribosomal RNA
Rfam family: Bacterial small subunit ribosomal RNA
Source: RNAcentral
AUACGGAGGAUGCGAGCGUUAUCCGGAUUUAUUGGGUUUAAAGGGUGCGCAGGCGGGCGAUUAAGUCAGCGGUGAAAGGCUCGGGCUCAACCGGAGCAGUGCCGUUGAUACUGGUUGUCUUGAAUGCGGUCAAGGCCGGCGGCAUGGGGCGUGUAGCGGUGAAAUGCAUAGAUAUGCCACAGAACACCGAUAGCGAAGGCAGCUGGCCGGGCCUGCAUUGACGCUGAGGCACGAAAGCGUGGGGAUCGAACAGGAUUAGAUACCCUGGUAGUCCACGCUGUAAACGAUGGACACUCGUUGUCGGCGACAGACAGUCGGCGGCCAAGCGAAAGUGAUAAGUGUCCCACCUGGGGAGUACGGUCGCAAGGCUGAAACUCAAAUGAAUUGACGGGG